This 572-nucleotide non-coding RNA is filed under the name Lottia gigantea (owl limpet). Its description in RNAcentral is "Eukaryotic small subunit ribosomal RNA". It matches the Rfam family "Eukaryotic small subunit ribosomal RNA", at positions 1178 to 1647 of the family's 1831-position model. Lineage: Eukaryota; Metazoa; Mollusca; Gastropoda; Lottiidae. The record is from Rfam by way of RNAcentral.
NNNNNNNNNNNNNUAAUUUGACUCAACACGGGGCAACUUACCCGGUCCGGACAUCGUCAGGAUUGACAGACGCUCGUGCAGUUCUUUCUCGAUUCGAUGGGUGGUGGUGCAUGGCCGUUCGUGGCUGGUGAAGUGAAAAGUCUGGUUUAUUCCGCUAACGGGCGAGGCCUCGCCCUUAACUAGUCGGCUCGUGGUUCUCGAAUCGUAGUCUCCCUUCGGGGAGCAGGGAGAACAUCGGGCGAGUCGCAGCGAUCGUCGCUACUUCUUAGGGGGAUCCCGAGCAAGCUUAAGCUAGGUGAGAGAGAUCAAUAACAGGUCAGUGAUGCCCUUAGAUGUCCGGGGCCGCACGCGCGCUACACUGAAGACGAAAGCGCGAGUGCCUACGGUCUUGGUUUGGUCAGGCCGGGAACCCGCCCCGAGAGGGGAGGUUGGGGCUGUUCCUUCACGGGGGCAGUCUCGCCUACUGCGGGUUAACCGUGCCAAUCGUCUUCGUGCUGGGGAUCGGGGCUUGCAACUCAGCCCCGUGAACGAGGAAUUCCGAGUAGGCGUCCGUCAUCAGCUGGCGCCGAUUA